AAUCCAUGGUGAGGUCAACCUCUCAAUAGAUCAUUGUAUCUCUACCAUGCAUCAUAAAGUGUUCCUAAAUCCAUUUGCACAAAAGAAGAAAUAUUAUUCCUUAGUUU
Small nucleolar RNA from Gossypium arboreum, 107 nucleotides. It matches the Rfam family "Plant small nucleolar RNA R71". From Rfam's summary of the family: R71 is a member of the C/D box family of snoRNAs containing the C (UGAUGA) and D (CUGA) box motifs. Multiple nearly identical copies of this snoRNA have been identified in Arabidopsis, and it is thought to function as a 2'-O-ribose methylation guide for 18S ribosomal RNA. The record is from Rfam. NCBI's taxonomy places the organism in Eukaryota, Viridiplantae, Streptophyta, Magnoliopsida, Malvales, Malvaceae.